Molecule: ribosomal RNA, 251 nt
Filed under: uncultured Staphylococcus sp.
Lineage: Bacteria; Bacillati; Bacillota; Bacilli; Caryophanales; Staphylococcaceae
Description: partial 16S ribosomal RNA
Rfam family: Bacterial small subunit ribosomal RNA
Source: RNAcentral
UAACACGUGGAUAACCUACCUAUAAGACUGGGAUAACUUCGGGAAACCGGAGCUAAUACCGGAUAAUAUAUUGAACCGCAUGGUUCAAUGGUGAAAGACGGUUUUGCUGUCACUUAUAGAUGGAUCCGCGCCGCAUUAGCUAGUUGGUAAGGUAACGGCUUACCAAGGCAACGAUGCGUAGCCGACCUGAGAGGGUGAUCGGCCACACUGGAACUGAGACACGGUCCAGACUCCUACGGGAGGCAGCAGAC